This 429-nucleotide ribosomal RNA is filed under the name Gemmatimonadota bacterium. RNAcentral's name for it is "Gemmatimonadetes bacterium partial 16S ribosomal RNA". It matches the Rfam family "Bacterial small subunit ribosomal RNA", at positions 355 to 776 of the family's 1533-position model. Lineage: Bacteria; Pseudomonadati; Gemmatimonadota. The record is from RNAcentral.
UAGGGAAUCUUCGGCAAUGGACGAAAGUCUGACCGAGCAACGCCGCGUGAGUGAAGAAGGUUUUCGGAUCGUAAAACUCUGUUGUUAGAGAAGAACAAGGACGUUAGUAACUGAACGUCCCCUGACGGUAUCUAACCAGAAAGCCACGGCUAACUACGUGCCAGCAGCCGCGGUAAUACGUAGGUGGCAAGCGUUGUCCGGAUUUAUUGGGCGUAAAGCGAGCGCAGGCGGUUUCUUAAGUCUGAUGUGAAAGCCCCCGGCUCAACCGGGGAGGGUCAUUGGAAACUGGGAGGCUUGAGUGCAGAAGAGGAGAGUGGAAUUCCAUGUGUAGCGGUGAAAUGCGUAGAUAUAUGGAGGAAAAACAGUGGCGAAGGCGGCUAUCUGGUCUGUAACUGACGCUGAGGCUCGAAAGCGUGGGGAGCAAACAGG